RNAcentral lists this ribosomal RNA (448 nucleotides) under uncultured bacterium. RNAcentral describes it as "bacterial SSU rRNA". It matches the Rfam family "Bacterial small subunit ribosomal RNA", at positions 28 to 517 of the family's 1533-position model. The record is from RNAcentral.
GACGAACGCUGGCGGCAGGCUUAACACAUGCAAGUCGAGCGGGCGUAGCAAUACGUCAGCGGCAGACGGGUGAGUAACGCGUGGGAACAUACCUUUUGGUUCGGAACAACACAGGGAAACUUGUGCUAAUACCGGAUAAGUCCUUACGGGGAAAGGAUUUAUCGCCGAAAGAUUGGCCCGCGUCUGAUUAGCUAGUUGGUGAGGUAAUGGCUCACCAAGGCGACGAUCAGUAGCUGGUCUGAGAGGAUGAUCAGCCACAUUGGGACUGAGACACGGCCCAAACUCCUACGGGAGGCAGCAGGUGGGGAAUAUUGGACAAUGGGCGCAAGCCUGAUCCAGCCAUGCCGCGUGAGUGAUGAAGGCCCUAGGGUUGUAAAGCUCUUUUGUGCGGGAAGAUAAUGACGGUACCGCAAGAAUAACGCCCCGGCUAACUUCGUGCCAGCAGCCG